This 490-nucleotide ribosomal RNA is filed under the name uncultured bacterium. RNAcentral describes it as "partial 16S ribosomal RNA". It matches the Rfam family "Bacterial small subunit ribosomal RNA", at positions 802 to 1298 of the family's 1533-position model. The record is from RNAcentral.
GUAAACGAUGCUCACUAGCUGAAUGCGAUAUACCGUAUGCGGCCGAGCGAAAGCGUUAAGUGAGCCACCUGGGGAGUACGCCGGCAACGGUGAAACUCGAAGGAAUUGACGGGGGCCCUCACAAGCGGAGGAACAUGUGGUUUAAUUCGAUGAUACGCGAGGAACCUUACCUGGGCUUAAAUGAGAAUCGACGGGAGUGGAAACAUUUCUUUCUUCGGACGUUUUUCAAGGUGCUGCAUGGUUGUCGUCAGCUCGUGCCGUGAGGUGUCGGGUUAAGUCCCAUAACGAGCGCAACCCUUACCGUUAGUUACCAGCGGGUGAAGCCGGGGACUCUAACGGGACUGCCACCGUAAGGUGCGAGGAAGGGGGGGAUGACGUCAAAUCAGCACGGCCCUUAUGUCCAGGGCUACACACGUGUUACAAUGGCCGGUACAAAAGGCAGCUACCUGGCGACAGGAUGCCAAUCUCGAAAACCGGUCCCAGUUCGGAU